CCGGACCUGACUGCUAUCGGAUUUGGUACUAAGCCAUGCGAGUCGUUGUAGCAAUACAAGGCGGACGGCUCAGUAACACGUAGUCAACCUAACCUAUGGACGUGGAUAACCUCGGGAAACUGAGAAUAAACCGCGAUAGAUCAUUAUGCCUGGAAUGGCUUAUGGUUCAAACAAUUUAUUGCCGUAGGAUGGGACUGCGGCCUAUCAGCUUGUUGGUGAGGUAAUGGCCCACCAAGGCUAUAACAGGUACGGGCUCUGAGAGGAGAAGCCCGGAGAUGGGUACUGAGACACGGACCCAGGCCCUAUGGGGCGCAGCAGGCGAGAAACCUUAGCAAUGUGCGAAAGCACGACUAGGUUAAUCCGAGUGAUUUCUGUUGAAGAAAUCUUUUGUCAGUCGUAAAACCACAGACGAAUAAGGGGUGGGCAAGUCUGGUGUCAGCCGCCGCGGUAAUACCAGCACCUCGAGUGGUCAGGAGGUUUAUUGGGCCUAAAGCAUCCGUAGCCGGCUUUGCAAGUCUCCGGUUAAAUCCAGCUGCUCAACAGAUGGGGCUGCCGGAGAUACUACAAAGCUAGGGAGCGGGGAGAGGCAGACGGUAUUCUGUGGGGUAGGGGGUAAAAUCCUUUGAUCCAUAGAGGGACCACCAGUGGCGAAGGCGGUCUGCCAGAACGCGUUCGACGGUGAGGGAUGAAAGCUGGGGGAGCAAACCGGAUUAGAUACCCGGGUAGUCCCAGCUGUAAACGAUGCAAACUCGGUGAUGCAUUGGCUUAUGGCCAAUGCAGUGCCGCAGGGAAGCCGUUAAGUUUGCCGCCUGGGAAGUACGGACGCAAGUCUGAAACUUAAAGGAAUUGGCGGGGGAGCAC
This 861-nucleotide ribosomal RNA is filed under the name uncultured archaeon. RNAcentral's name for it is "bacterial SSU rRNA". It matches the Rfam family "Archaeal small subunit ribosomal RNA", at positions 17 to 879 of the family's 1478-position model. The record is from RNAcentral.